RNAcentral lists this transfer RNA (72 nucleotides) under Fusarium pseudograminearum. RNAcentral describes it as "tRNA-Gly (TCC) (tRNA-Gly-TCC-3-1)". It matches the Rfam family "tRNA". Rfam says of the family: Transfer RNA (tRNA) molecules are approximately 80 nucleotides in length. Lineage: Eukaryota; Fungi; Ascomycota; Sordariomycetes; Hypocreales; Nectriaceae. The record is from RNAcentral.
GCGACCGUGGUGUAGUGGUUAGCAUUAACGCCUUCCAAGAUAUAGAGAGGGGUUCGAUUCCCUUCGGUCGCA